UUAAGUUCAGCGGGUAGUCCUACCUGAUUUGAGGUCAAAUCGUCAAGUCAUUUGUCUCAAAGUCGAGACAGCUAUGAGCAGAGCACAUGCUCGUCUGUAACUCGGUAAGACAAUUAUCAAUACCAAGUCGCAGUCUCGCACAGAGGGUCCUGCUAAUACAUUUCAGAAGAGCUGACCACAGAAGGCCAGCAGCUCCCACA
RNAcentral lists this unclassified non-coding RNA (200 nucleotides) under Pluteus sp. Its description in RNAcentral is "partial internal transcribed spacer 2". Lineage: Eukaryota; Fungi; Basidiomycota; Agaricomycetes; Agaricales; Pluteaceae. The record is from RNAcentral.